RNAcentral lists this ribosomal RNA (426 nucleotides) under uncultured bacterium. Its description in RNAcentral is "partial 16S ribosomal RNA". It matches the Rfam family "Bacterial small subunit ribosomal RNA", at positions 354 to 796 of the family's 1533-position model. The record is from RNAcentral.
GUGAGGAAUUUUCCGCAAUGGGCGAAAGCCUGACGGAGCAAUGCCGCGUGAAGGAUGAAGGCCUAUGGGUUGUAAACUUCUUUUCUCAGAAAAGAAUUAUGACGGUAUCUGAGGAAUAAGCAUCGGCUAACUCUGUGCCAGCAGCCGCGGUAAGACAGAGGAUGCAAGCGUUAUCCGGAAUGAUUGGGCGUAAAGCGUCUGUAGGUUGUUUAAAAAGUAUUCUGUCAAAGAUUAGGGCUUAACCCUAGAUAGGCAGAAUAAACUUUUAAGCUAGAGUGUGGUAGAGGCAGAGGGAAUUCCCGGUGGAGCGGUGAAAUGCGUAGAUAUCGGGAGGAACACCAAAGGCGAAGGCACUCUGCUGGGCCAAUACGAACACUGAGAGACGAAAGCGAGGGGAGCAAAUGGGAUUAGAUACCCGGGUAGUCC